RNAcentral lists this small RNA (125 nucleotides) under Marmota monax (woodchuck). Lineage: Eukaryota; Metazoa; Chordata; Mammalia; Rodentia; Sciuridae. The record is from RNAcentral.
GCUGGGCAUGGUGGCUCAUGGCUGUAAUCCUAGCAGCUUAGGAGGCUGAGGCAGGAGAAUUGUGAGUUCAAAGCCAACCUUAGCAACAACGAGGUGCCAAGCAACUCAGUGAUACUCUGCCUCUA